UUAGAGGUUCGUGAGAGCAGUGCUUCUGGCCAUCAGCAGGAAGCACCUGGCUUUGCAAAGCUGGGGCAGAAAUAGGAGCUGGAGUUUAUAUGCCACAUGCUGGCUUGGACAUUUGUUUGCCGAGUGGUCACGUGCACUCUAGAGUGACCAAGGAAAGAGGAGGAGGAUAGAUCUUCACAGCUGUACCAUGGUUCCAUUCUACAUGCCACAUUGUGCACCCGUCUGUGUCUCCCAAUUGUCUUCUCUGCCCUCAUUUGCCUUGGGCUGAUCUGUUGAAAGUCGCAGAGACCAGGCAGCCCUCUAGUGGGAGUAAACACUGUGCUCCUGGCUGUGACAUCAUCACAUUAUGCUUGCUGCAGGGACCCUAAACGACGAUGAAGAUAAUGUACAAGGCAAAGCACCUGCCUCCACUCCUGCUUCCCUCAGGGCUAAAACUGAGGCAGGAGGACAGAGCCCCAGUAACGGAUUUUCUGCAUUCCUCUCUUCAAGCAAAACACUGCUCCAUGAGAACAGAGCAGGUGUGUAGGCACAGCAGCGCCAUCCAAGCUCAUUCUCAGAAAAGAAACAUUUCUUCAAAGAAAGCAUGGCCUGCCCACCCCGUAGGCAACCUUUUACAUUCUCAGAAGAGACACUUGCUUGCUUUCCUGGUGAGACACAGCCUCAGACAUCUGUGUUUAUGAUUAGGGUCUUUGGUCUGAACGAAAGGCCUACUCCAACGAUUUUCCCAGCGUGGCAGGUUGGUUUGAAGCAGUUUCUUUUGUGUCUGUGCCUCACAAGAUAGAGAAAUGCUUAGAGCAUAGAAAUGGUGGUUCCAGUUUUUAUCCUUCCCGUCUGUGCUUUGAAAACGUGAAGACUAAAUUACAGCCAGGGCCUGCAUGUAAUGUAGUGUGACUAACACAUGCCUUCCAGGAGUCUCUGUAAGGAAAACAUUUCUUACACAUAUGCUUAUCUGUCCAGCCAUCUGUCCCUUCAACUAACGGUUACUUAUUUGCUAUGGAUGAAGCAUUUUGCUGGCAAGGAGAUAUUGAAGCAAUAGGUAAAGAUGUGCCAUAACUAAGUGAGAUAAUUUCUAGUAAUGAUAAAAUGAUAAAUGCCACAAUGAAAACUAGAGAAGUUGAUGCUCGAACUGGAAUCUGAGAAUCCAGUGGGGACUGGGCUUAUUACAAUGUAGAGAAAAUGUCCAUUUCAGACAGAGGGGCAAAAUGUACUCAAGUGAUCCAGUGAGGAUGGAAUUGUUCAGUGUGUCUGAAUUUUAGGUGCCUGGGAAAAAGAGCCUUACCCAGAGGCAGGCCUGAAAGGGUGAGUUACCUACAGACUGAUCCAUGUGUUUUUUUUUUUUCCAUGUAGGGUUUAAUUGUAUUUCCUGUUAGACUCAUAAAUAAUUUCUGCCAGAGUUUGUUGACAGUUCUGUUGCUUUAUUAUACCAUAAAUUAUCAGGUAAAGUUUAAGUAUAGUUUGUGAAAGUGAUAAUGUAGCUCUGAGCUUAGCCUUAGAUAGUUUAUAGAUCAAUCAUUACCUUGUGUUGAAGGUCACUGGGAAAUCAGAAAAACAAAAUGUGUCAGAGGGACCAUCUGUUCUGCUGGAUACUGAUCCCUCUCCCCAAGGUCUGAGUGGUGCCACUUACAAAUGCGAUUAAAACCCAAGUAGAAAUGACAUGUCACUAUAUAGAUGACAAUACUGACCACCUACAGAAAUGCCAAACAACCAUACUCACCAUAUAUUUCAUGUAAAGGAAAGAGUGAUACAGCCAAUUAACAGUUUCUUAAGACAUUGUUACCAUCAUGUUACCUGGAAGAGUCACUUCUGAAUAUUUAUCUAAGAGAAAAUACACGUUCACACAACAUCUGCAUCUAAAUGUUCUACCUAUCAACAUUAGAGACAGAAAUAUCUAAAAUCCUUCAAUGACUGAUUGGAUGAAUUGUGUUACAUCUACACAAGGAUAUACUAUUUUGAAAUAAACGGAACUAUUGUUUUAUAUAUAACAACUUGGGUUGAUUUCAAAAAACAUUAAGCCAAGUGAAAGAAACCAUUUUUAAAAAAAGAUAUACAAAGCAUGUGAUGCCAUUUAUUUUGAACUUUCCAGGACCUUAAACUAUGAUGCUGAGGAAAAUGGGUGACAGGGAAGGGGUUGGGAGUUGGUGUUACUGAAAGGGGGGGUGUCAAGAGGAGAGUUGGGGGCAUAGGUCAGUUGGUAGAGUAAUUUGCCUAGCUUACAGCAAGUGGGUAGUGGUUAGCAUUGUAUGAUCUGGCCAUGGUAGCUCAUACCUGACGUUCCAGAUGUUGGGAAGUUGAGGAAGGAGGACCAGAAGUUCAAGGUCAUCCUUGGAUAAGUAGGGAGUUUGAGGCUAGCCUGGGCUACAUGAAACUUUGUCUCAAACAGACAAACACCAAACAUGGCUAACAAGAGGGAGUCUAAGUGAUGACUGGAGUUGUUGGCUAUUCUCAAAGUGAGGGCUCUAUGAAUUUAAAUGGUAUGUAUGUGAAAAAUUACAGAAUUCUAUGCUCAUUUUUAAACUAGAUUUUGAAAAUAUUCAUUUAAAAAUUAAAAUAAGAUACAAUGACAAUUAAGAAAUAUGCCAGUGAUCAGCUUGUCUGGAAAAAUUAUUCUGUGGGGCUCAUUUUUAAAACCAGAACAACUAAUUCCCUCUCUCUCUCUCUCCCUCUCUCUCCUAUCUUCCUACCUAUCUACCAUCUAUUUGUUCACCCACCCACUCAUCCAUCCGUCUACCCACUCAUCUGUCCCCUUGAAAUACUGGCGGUAUAAUUUCCCCAUGUUGUAAUCUUUCCAGAUUAUACCCUUGAACAAGGAUUCAGCAAAUAUGAAUGCUCCAUCAUGAAGAAAUUCUAAUCCUUUAAUGAAAUGUAAUCUGAUUUGCAUGAAUUAGAAGUAUAGAAAAAUCUUGGAUGAUUCAACUGCCUGCCAUCAACUGUGCAGUGUUUUCUACACUGCAAGCCAUUCAAAACAGUAUAUCCCUUUCAGCUUCAAUAUUAGAGCCAAAUAAUAAUAACCAAGAUAGGUGAGGAGCUUGAUGAAGAAAGAAUGUUAAGAGAAGCCCAUACCAUUCCUUUGACGUUGCAGCUGUAUCAGACUGGGGAUUCAAAGUCCAACUGAAUUAAACUUGAAUGAAUAACAUCUGUUCAUUCACUCAGUUUCCAACUUACCCUAAAACUAGAAUCUGUAUUAGAAAGAGAUUCAGAGGUCAUGUAAUACAAGUCUACACCGGUUUGUCUCUCAGGCAAAGCUGUUUGCUUUGUGUGCUCUGAUGAUCUUCCACCUUUGAAGUAUAUCUGAUACAUCUGCUGCUGCUGCUGCUUUGAUUUUUGAGGCAGCUCAUUUCCUUGAUGGGUAGU
Molecule: long non-coding RNA, 3351 nt
Organism: Mus musculus (house mouse)
Lineage: Eukaryota; Metazoa; Chordata; Mammalia; Rodentia; Muridae
Product: predicted gene, 38137
Exons: 4
Source: RefSeq, a predicted model, not a curated record